Molecule: ribosomal RNA, 429 nt
Filed under: Bacillota bacterium
Lineage: Bacteria; Bacillati; Bacillota
Description: Firmicutes bacterium partial 16S ribosomal RNA
Rfam family: Bacterial small subunit ribosomal RNA
Source: RNAcentral
UAGGGAAUCUUCCACAAUGGACGAAAGUCUGAUGGAGCAACGCCGCGUGAGUGAAGAAGGUUUUCGGAUCGUAAAACUCUGUUGUAAGGGAAGAACACGUACGAGAGUAACUGCUCGUACCUUGACGGUACCUUAUUAGAAAGCCACGGCUAACUACGUGCCAGCAGCCGCGGUAAUACGUAGGUGGCAAGCGUUGUCCGGAAUUAUUGGGCGUAAAGCGCGCGCAGGCGGUCCUUUAAGUCUGAUGUGAAAGCCCACGGCUCAACCGUGGAGGGUCAUUGGAAACUGGGGGACUUGAGUACAGAAGAGGAAAGCGGAAUUCCACGUGUAACGGUGAAAUGCGUAGAGAUGUGGAGGAACACCAGUGGCGAAGGCGGCUUUCUGGUCUGUAACUGACGCUGAGGCGCGAAAGCGUGGGGAGCAAACAGG